AAUAGAUACCCGGGUAGUCCACGCCGUAAACGAUGAGUGCUAAGUGUUAGAGGGUUUCCGCCCUUUAGUGCUGCAGCUAACGCAUUAAGCACUCCGCCUGGGGGAGUACGGUCGCAAGACUGAAACUCAAAGGAAUUGACGGGGGCCCGCACAAGCGGUGGAGCAUGUGGUUUAAUUCGAAGCAACGCGAAGAACCUUACCAGGUCUUGACAUCCUCUGACAACUCUAGAGAUAGAGCGUUCCCCUUCGGGGGACAGAGUGACAGGUGGUGCAUGGUUGUCGUCAGCUCGUGUCGUGAGAUGUUGGGUUAAGUCCCGCAACGAGCGCAACCCUUGAUCUUAGUUGCCAGCAUUCAGUUGGGCACUCUAAGGUGACUGCCGGUGACAAACCGGAGGAAGGUGGGGAUGACGUCAAAUCAUCAUGCCCCUUAUGACCUGGGCUACACACGUGCUACAAUGGAUGGUACAAAGGGCUGCAAGACCGCGAGGUCAAGCCAAUCCCAUAAAACCAUUCUCAGUUCGGAUUGU
RNAcentral lists this ribosomal RNA (527 nucleotides) under uncultured bacterium. Its description in RNAcentral is "bacterial SSU rRNA". It matches the Rfam family "Bacterial small subunit ribosomal RNA", at positions 777 to 1301 of the family's 1533-position model. The record is from RNAcentral.